AUUGAACGCUGGCGGCAUGCCUUACACAUGCAAGUCGAACGGCAGCACGGGGGCAACCCUCGGUGGCGAGUGGCGAACGGGUGAGUAACACAUCGGAACGUACCCAGUUGUGGGGGAUAACCAGUCGAAAGACUGGCUAAUACCGCAUGAUCUGGCGACAGCAAAGCGGGGGAUCGCAAGACCUCGCGCGAUUGGAGCGGCCGAUGUCCGAUUAGCUAGUUGGGGGGUAAAGGCCACCAAGGCUUUGAUCGGUAGCUGGUCUGAGAGGAUGAUCAGCCACACUGGGACUGAGACACGGCCCAGACUCCUACGGGAGGCAGCAGUGGGGAAUUUUGGACAAUGGGGGCAACCUGAUCCAGCCAUGCCGCGUGAGUGAAGAAGGCC
This 384-nucleotide ribosomal RNA is filed under the name uncultured bacterium. RNAcentral's name for it is "bacterial SSU rRNA". It matches the Rfam family "Bacterial small subunit ribosomal RNA", at positions 29 to 416 of the family's 1533-position model. The record is from RNAcentral.